GAUUAAGAACGUAGCGAAAUGCGAUAAGUAAUGUGAAUUGCAGAAUUCAGUGAAUCAUCGAAUCUUUGAACGCACAUUGCGCCCCUCGGUAUUCCGAGGGGCAUGCCUGUUCGAGCGUCAUUAUAACCCUUCAAGCUCAGCUUGGUGUUGGGGCCUGCUGUAACUGGUAGCCCUUAAAAUCAGUGGCAGUGCUAUUAGGCUCUAAGCGUAGUAAUUCUUCUCGCUAUAGUGUGUAGUGAGCGCUUGCCAGAACCCCAAACUUUUAUAUGAUUGACCUCGGAUCAGGUAGGGAUACCCGCUGAACUUAAGCAUAUCAAUAAGCGGAGGA
This 328-nucleotide unclassified non-coding RNA is filed under the name soil metagenome. Its description in RNAcentral is "partial contains 5.8S ribosomal RNA, internal transcribed spacer 2, and large subunit ribosomal RNA". The stretch from base 1 to 120 matches the Rfam family "5.8S ribosomal RNA", at positions 35 to 154 of the family's 154-position model. The record is from RNAcentral.